AGUGGCGAACGGGUGAGUAACACGUGAGUAACCUGCCCUUGACUCUGGGAUAAGCGCUGGAAACGGCGUCUAAUACCGGAUACGAGCUUCAGCCGCAUGGCUAGGAGUUGGAAAGAAUUUUGGUCAAGGAUGGACUCGCGGCCUAUCAGUUAGUUGGUGAGGUAAUGGCUCACCAAGACGACGACGGGUAGCCGGCCUGAGAGGGUGACCGGCCACACUGGGACUGAGACACGGCCCAGACUCCUACGGGAGGCAGCAGUGGGGAAUAUUGCACAAUGGGCGAAAGCCUGAUGCAGCAACGCCGCGUGAGGGACGACGGCCUUCGGGUUGUAAACCUCUUUUAGUAGGGAAGAAGCGAAAGUGACGGUACCUGCAGAAAAAGCACCGGCUAACUACGUGCCAGCAGCCGCGGUAAUACGUAGGGUGCAAGCGUUGUCCGGAAUUAUUGGGCGUAAAGAGCUCGUAGGCGGUUUGUCGCGUCUGCUGUGAAAUCUGGGGGCUCAACCCCCAGCCUGCAGUGGGUACGGGCAGACUAGAGUGCGGUAGGGGAGAUUGGAAUUCCUGGUGUAGCGGUGGAAUGCGCAGAUAUCAGGAGGAACACCGAUGGCGAAGGCAGAUCUCUGGGCCGUAACUGACGCUGAGGAGCGAAAGCGUGGGGAGCGAACAGGAUUAGAUACCCUGGUAGUCCACGCCGUAAACGUUGGGAACUAGAUGUGGGGACCAUUCCACGGUCUCCGUGUCGCAGCUAACGCAUUAAGUUCCCCGCCUGGGGAGUACGGCCGCAAGGCUAAAACUCAAAGGAAUUGACGGGGGCCCGCACAAGCGGCGGAGCAUGCGGAUUAAUUCGAUGCAACGCGAAGAACCUUACCAAGGCUUGACAUAUACCGGAAACGGCCAGAGAUGGUCGCCCCGCAAGGUCGGUAUACAGGUGGUGCAUGGUUGUCGUCAGCUCGUGUCGUGAGAUGUUGGGUUAAGUCCCGCAACGAGCGCAACCCUCGUUCUAUGUUGCCAGCACGUAAUGGUGGGAACUCAUAGGAGACUGCCGGGGUCAACUCGGAGGAAGGUGGGGAUGACGUCAAAUCAUCAUGCCCCUUAUGUCUUGGGCUUCACGCAUGCUACAAUGGCCGGUACAAAGGGCUGCGAUACCGUAAGGUGGAGCGAAUCCCAAAAAGCCGGUCUCAGUUCGGAUUGGGGUCUGCAACUCGACCCCAUGAAGUCGGAGUCGCUAGUAAUCGCAGAUCAGCAACGC
This 1249-nucleotide ribosomal RNA is filed under the name Frigoribacterium sp. RNAcentral's name for it is "bacterial SSU rRNA". It matches the Rfam family "Bacterial small subunit ribosomal RNA", at positions 94 to 1357 of the family's 1533-position model. Lineage: Bacteria; Bacillati; Actinomycetota; Actinomycetes; Micrococcales; Microbacteriaceae. The record is from RNAcentral.